This 636-nucleotide ribosomal RNA is filed under the name Lichtheimia hyalospora. RNAcentral describes it as "eukaryotic LSU rRNA". It matches the Rfam family "Eukaryotic large subunit ribosomal RNA", at positions 72 to 617 of the family's 3401-position model. The record is from RNAcentral. Lineage: Eukaryota; Fungi; Mucoromycota; Mucoromycetes; Mucorales; Lichtheimiaceae.
UGAUUCCCCUAGUAACGGCGAGUGAAGAGGGAAAAGCUCAAAGUUGGAACCUGGCUGUCCUAGAUAGUCCGGAUUGUAAACUAAAGAGCGUGAAUCCAGGCAAGCCGGUUGACAAAGUCCUUUGGAAUGAGGCGCCACUGAGGGUGAGAGCCCCGUAAGUCGACUGAGCAUUUGUCUUUUGUGUUUCGCGUUCAAAGAGUCAGGUUGUUUGGGAAUGCAGCCUAAAGCUGGUGGUAAAUCCCACCUAAAGCUAAAUACAGGCGAGAGACCGAUAGCGAACAAGUACCGUGAGGGAAAGAUGAAAAGUACUUUGAAAAGAGAGUUAAACAGUAUGUGAAAUUGCCAAGAGGGAAGCAUUUGGAGUUAGACUGACUUGAAGUCAAUCAACUUGGUCUUUGGACUGGGUGUACUUGGCUUUUAUGUCUGCCAACAGCAGUUAGUUCUGGUGGAAAAAACUAGAGGGAAGGUAGUCCUUCGGGAUGUUUAUAGACCUUUAGAAAAUACAUCGGAAUUGACUGAGGAAUGCAGUAGAUGCUAUUAGGCUUCGUCUUGUGGGUGUUGGGUAAAGGUACUAGGUGUUUUCAGCUUGCUGAUGCGCUUGGUGCCCGAGUCCAUCCAUUCACAAGUACUGUAAUC